GGACGUAGAAGAAUUCUUGAUGCUCCGACCUACAUGUAUCCUCUAUGAUGACUUUCCCAUGGAGUCUUACAGAUGAUCUUCCUUUGCUAUCCAGCACUAGAGGCUUGCAGCAUGGAACCGUUUUACUGGAUUGUUUUUACUUCUGGAGAAAAUAAUGAGACCUAAAAGGACUUGGCGAGCGACUGCCCUCUAUUUUAAUACAUUCACUAUUUGCACAAUUUUUUCUAAAAAUGCUAUA
This is a long non-coding RNA of Hyla sarda, 238 nucleotides long. RefSeq lists it as uncharacterized. NCBI's taxonomy places the organism in Eukaryota, Metazoa, Chordata, Amphibia, Anura, Hylidae. The record is from RefSeq and is a predicted model, not a curated record. The transcript has 3 exons.